UACGGCACGUACCGUGCGCCCGAACCUUAUAGGAUAAACGGCUAGCAACGCAGUUUGACGGCCAUGAAGCGUGUCCGCUCGCUGGCUCGUCGCUGCGUUGCCCUGUCGGGCAAAUUGGCAAGGUCGUGAGGGCCAAAACCCUUGGAAGAUCUCCGUCUGUUCGUGCCGCCGUGUCCCGCCCGGUGCCCGGCCCGUGUCGGGCCCGGCCCAGACAGUGCACGUCCGUGCGCUUUAAGUUGUGCAAACCGGUCCAAACCGGGGCUGGGCGGCGAGGGGGUGGGGGGGGAGUAAGGGUAGGGGCUGAGCGGCGCCGGGGCGGGGGGUGGGGCUAGGGGCUGGGCGGCGGCGUGAGGGGUGGUAGCGGCGUGGGGCCGCCCGUGACGGGAUUAGCCUAGGUUGGUACUAUAGGCUCUGCGUCACGCGGGGCGAGGCCGCUAUAGGGGGUUAAUGAAUGAGAGCAAGGUCUCGCGCUACCGCUCUAGACCGCCGUUCGCUCCGCACUACCUCGUGGUGACGGACUUGGCCAAGGCGGCGGCCGCUGAGGAGCGGAAGGAGGCGGCGUUGUUAGAAGGGAGGUGGAACCUGCGCGACUUCGUGCUCUGCGCGCAGAAAGAGCUAGACGCGAAGGACGCCGCGGACCACCGCCUGCCGGCCACCGUCGUCCGCGCUCUCAUGAAGUCGGCGAAGGACGGCACGGCCUUACUCCAGCUGCGCGUGUGGCGCGAGUCUAAGUAGUGAGCGGAGUCGCAAGAGCUGCUGUACCGGGUCCCCUUCGACCCCACGUAGCUACGCCGGCUACUAGAGGCCUGGGUUGAGCUCAGAAUGGGAAGGUCGUACUAGCUCCGGCUGGGCGUGAUGCGGCUACGACAGACGCGUUAGAAUAUGUUACCGAGAGUGGGCCGAAUGACCCUAGGGCACCUGACCGCCGAGUAAUCCGAGUUUCGGCGUGUCCAACAGUUCCUGAACCAGUGCGCUUGGUGACUCGUAGACGACGCCAACGGCGCCACAGGUUCGGUGGGUACAAUGUGGUAGGGGAAGCCCAAACCCCCAACGGCCUCCGUAUUCUCCUUCUUGUAUCCGACCUACAGCCGUAGAGAAGAACGGGCGGCAAAAGAAGUCUUUCUCUCCGCAGGAAGGAGUGGUACGUGAGUUCCCAAUAGCACACUUGGAUACCUAAACCUCCUUUAAUAACUACUUUGAAACGAUCGACCCUUCGUCCUCCAGUUUCUUGUAAGUCUAAGAACGUCACUUCCGUAAGGUUGUCAUGGACGAUUACGUCCGCGCGGCCGUAACCCGAACGACCGCAGGAAUCCCCGCUAACACGGGAGACGGGGUCGCGGCAGGCGGGAGCAGGAGUGGGGCCUCGUCUGCUGUCGGCGUUAGGACCUUAAUGCCGUCCGGCACCGCCCGUAGUCCCGGAAGGAGCAACCCGGGAUACACCGGGUUGUCGGAGGAGGCGGCGGUGUGGUUGUCGUCGAUGGGGACGGUGGUGGCGGGAGCCUGCGCGGGUGCCGCGGCCUACAGCAGUUACGUCACCUGCGACUAGUACAAAAUUUAUUUCAUUUCCGGGACCCUCUGUAAAGUUUACGGUACUAGUACGAUCACUUCAUGUGUAGGUGUGUACCAGGUCUAGGGUCCUACAAGCACCUCUUUAAUUACCUCGUCCUCUUCGACAAUAAGCUUGACGCUAAUCUAACGUAUUUACGUUACUAUUCUCCGACAUAAAGGCGAGGCUAGGCCCACUCCGUAAAGGUGCUCGUGCAGUGCCGGCGCGGUGGGGUGGCGACGGUACAACAUUCCGUCCGCCGUCUUGACCAAGCUCGUUUGUGCGCACCCGACGGAAGCACAAACGAACGACUUCAACGGACACUAGUCAAAACGGCAAGAGAAAGAGAAAGAGAUGGCACAAAACUACCGCGGGCUCACUACGUUCUUAGUAGUGGCAAGAGAAAGAGACGGAAAGACAUAUCCCCACGCCUCGUGGGCUCUCGAGGACACAUAAAAGGGAGCUACGUCGGAGAAAACACCUCCUUCCUCAACCUCAAUGAGUCUCAUGAACCACCCUCGCCGCUGUUGCUAUAAAGGCCUAACACACCUGUAGAGAUGGAACUAGCCCUUCCAGUUUAAAUU
Molecule: ribosomal RNA, 2130 nt
Filed under: Triticum aestivum (bread wheat)
Lineage: Eukaryota; Viridiplantae; Streptophyta; Magnoliopsida; Poales; Poaceae
Description: partial small subunit ribosomal RNA
Source: RNAcentral